This 445-nucleotide ribosomal RNA is filed under the name uncultured bacterium. RNAcentral describes it as "partial 16S ribosomal RNA". It matches the Rfam family "Bacterial small subunit ribosomal RNA", at positions 354 to 796 of the family's 1533-position model. The record is from RNAcentral.
GUAAGGAAUAUUGGUCAAUGGACGAAAGUCUGAACCAGCCAUGCCGCGUGGAGGAUGAAGGUCCUCUGGAUUGUAAACUUCUUUUAUAUGGGACGAAAAUGGGGCUUUCUAGCUCAACUGACGGUACCAUAUGAAUAAGCACCGGCUAACUCCGUGCCAGCAGCCGCGGUAAUACGGAGGGUGCAAGCGUUAUCCGGAUUCACUGGGUUUAAAGGGUGCGUAGGUGGAUUGGUAAGUCAGAGGUGAAAUCUCCGGGCUCAACUCGGAAACUGCCUUUGAUACUAUCAAUCUUGAAUAUUGUGGAGGUUAGCGGAAUAUGUCAUGUAGCGGUGAAAUGCUUAGAUAUGACAUAGAACACCAAUUGCGAAGGCAGCUGGCUACACAUAUAUUGACACUGAGGCACGAAAGCGUGGGGAUCAAACAGGAUUAGAUACCCGGGUAGUCC